GCCCCUGUCUGCAGCCUGCAGAUUUGGGCGGGUAUGCACCUGGGACGGUGCUGCACGUGCAGGCCCGCCCACACUGCUUCUCAUUGGUUAGUGGCGUGAAGUCAUGACGUCGAUUAUAGCAAGUUUUCAUUUCCGAUGUUUAUCGCUGCAUGGUCAGAGAUGCUGAAAGAGCAACUCCAGUAAAAGAGGAGCGUAAAGAAGCAGGUGUUGGUUCCCAUUUCAAAUCUUGAACCUAAAUAACAGGGGUUUGAAAAUGAUGCUACUCUUGUUCUUACUCUCCAAUUUAGAGGUGAUGAAAUCCCCCGGCCUGUGGAUUAUUCGACCAAGAUGCCACCUGACCUUACAUCUUCUGGCAGAUCCUGAUGGGAGUCGUAACAAAGAGGACGAUAUGGCUUUAUGGUGACUUUCCCUGACAUGCAAGGUUUUCAGAGACGUUUUCAGCAAGCCCAAGUUCAGAGAAAAGGUCCCCUUUGUAUGUCCAAACAGUGUUGUGAACUGGAGUGCAUUUUCCAGACAAUAUGGGCAAGAGCUCCGGGUGCCCUACUCGUUGACUUUGAAAUAUACAAGGACUGCCCACCUGGAUAUGUAGGUGAUGGCAGAAGGGGAGUCCUGAAUGGGUUUUAUUCCGACAAGGAGGUUCAGGGCUAUUGCUCAUUUGAUUGUUUUUUCAAUGAUGGAGGGGAACUUCAGGCUGUGUAGAUUGUGUGUGUACGGUUAAUGUACGUGAUUAUCUGUAUGUGUAUAUUAUGUCUUUUAAACAAUUAUUUUUGUUUUGAAAUAAAAGUUAUCACUGGUA
Paramisgurnus dabryanus is the source of this 796-nucleotide long non-coding RNA. RefSeq lists it as uncharacterized. The record is from RefSeq and is a predicted model, not a curated record. Lineage: Eukaryota; Metazoa; Chordata; Actinopteri; Cypriniformes; Cobitidae.